Molecule: long non-coding RNA, 1803 nt
Filed under: Ovis aries (sheep)
Lineage: Eukaryota; Metazoa; Chordata; Mammalia; Artiodactyla; Bovidae
Description: lncRNA (ENSOARG00000026810.1)
Source: RNAcentral
GUUUUUUACAUUCAAAAAAUAUGAUUGACUUGUCCACAAAAUAUGGUAAGAAAAUUUGUUACUUUUAAAUUAAAGCAUUGUGCAGUAAGAUUUGCUGAAGAACUGAAAUUAGUAUUCUACUAAGAAAUUUGGCUGCAGUCUUACUUUCAGAACACAUACAGAGAUAAUUGGAAAAACUUAUGAUUGGGGAAAUACUUUAAUAACAGUAUGUUAUGAGUGUUGUCUGCAUUUACCCGUGCCUUUCUAUAUUCUUGCUUUUUGUUUUUAAUUGCUUUACUUUUGCUUCAUUAAUAUAAUUUUGUUUCAGAGAGAACCAACAAGUCCAGCAAGCUGAUAAAGUAGCCAGCAACUAAUGAAGCUAACUAUGGACCCUAACUAUGGACCCUAACUAUGAAGUUAACUAACUAAGAGUGAGUUUGGAAGACCCAUUGCAGAGCCCUCCACCCAUCUCCCUACCACUGACCCCCAAUCCCACCACUCUGUGAGUUUGUAUAUUUUGAGCUCCUACUUGCUUACAAGGAAAACGUUCUGGAUAUUGCCUCCUUUGGUUUCAGUGUUGGUAGCAGGUGUAACCUAUCAACUUUGAGAGAUGACUCUCAGGUUCAACCACAGUGUGUUAACAUCUUUGAAGGCAUUCAUCAUGUAUGUAAAAAUCAAGAGUAAAUUCCUUCUAAGAUUAUGUUUCUAAGAUAUUGGAAAGGAACAAAAACUGUAACAUAAAUAAAAACAGGACACUUCAAAAUUGAAAUGCAGAAUUCUGACGGUCCUGUCUAAAUUCAUGUCAUAAGUAGAAUCUGUGCUUAGGAACCACAGUUGUUACCUUGAUAUUUUCUCCUUCUUUCAUCACUCCUAAAAGGCUAUAUGUACUUUUUAUUUUCAUGUCUUCUCCCUAUCCCACCAUAUAAGAUUUUCUUACACUUAUUUACUUUUGAUUUCUCUGUAGUUCACCCUAUGUAAUCUUCUAUACAAUACUAAAUCCCUAUCAGUUCUGCAAAACACAUUUCAUAUUGCUUUAAAGUGUGGUUUUUCUCAAACCCCAGAUGCAGUAAAUGUGAAACACUACGUUGUGUGUAAAUACAAGUCACUACAUUCAUUUGCUUAAGACAACUUAAUUGCUUGCAGAAGCAGCUCCACUUUCAUCUAGGAAAACAAGUUCAAUGAUCAUUGGAAAGUGAGAAUAAAAAAAGAAAUAAUCCAUCACCUGUCUGCCAGUGGCGCUUUCAUAACACCUCUCACCACCAAAGAGUCAAUACUGGAGGGAGGGGUGUCAAAGAGAGUGAGGAUGGUGAACUGACAGCUAAUGUUCCAGUGAAGUUACUGCUGAACCAGAGGUAGAAAAAUAAUACCGAGCAAAAGUUUCAAAUAGGAAACAGCUGCAUGCAAUAGACAGCUCUGAGAGCUUUUGUCACAAUAAAAUGUAUAAAAGGAGAAGACGGUGUUUCUUAGAAUUCUAAGCUUCUAAAGGGAUAAAAUUAGAGAGAUCUGAUAAGCUGUGAAUAAAACAGAAGGCAGUUGACAUUACCCAAGAUUUACAAAAAAAUUUAACAUAUAAGUUGUUAUGAAAAUUCACUACACCUCUUCUCUAACUCAGAAAUGCAUAUGGAGUAUUUAGAAGAGCAAGGUUACAGCAGGAGAAGCAGGUGAGUCUAAUCCCAACCAAACUACAUGGAGAUUUCACAAUUGAGGCAGCAUGGGGUGGACGUUGAUGAGAGAAUCCUAAAGAGUCCUAUAAAUGACCCUAUAUUUUAAGAUCAUCUGCAGAUGUACAGGAGUUUGAGGGAGUAAGGGAACUACAAGAGAAAU